Molecule: unclassified non-coding RNA, 1860 nt
Filed under: Zea mays
Lineage: Eukaryota; Viridiplantae; Streptophyta; Magnoliopsida; Poales; Poaceae
Description: misc RNA Zm00001eb405810
Source: RNAcentral
UGGCGCGAUAGAGGCCAUCAUCAACAAUGCGCGCAUAAUCCGGGAGCAGCUCAAUAAGGGCCAUGAACUUCUGCAGCUUGAGAUACGGAUCCGGCGCCACCUCCGCGAGAUAGCCGUCCAUGAGCCUCCCGACCUUGAGCACCGAUCCGUGGCUGGGAGACUUGAGGCCGUCGGAGUCGUACCCGCAGGGGGGAGACGACAGGUCCCCCGAGCUAUCCUCAUCAAUCCUCUGCAAGAAGCUGAGCAGUAUGCGGUGGACGGUGUCGACGUCGAACAUGGAGUCGCUGGUCUGCGCGGCGGGGACGAGCAGGUCGUCGAGCGCCGCCAUCUCCAGGCGCAUCCCGACCCGGCGCUCGAGCUCGAUCCGGCAGUCGAGGCUGGCGUCGACCUCGACGGCGACCCGCAGCAUGCCGAACAGGAAGGAGAGCGUGACGGCCGCGACGUUCUCCGUGGCAAGCACGUCGACGAGCGUCUCGACGACCAUCCGCUGGCCGUCGCCGACGAACGGGCCCGAUCCGUCCCAGCAGGCGCGCUGGCGCCGCCGCUGCUCCACGUCCACGCCCUUGAGCCACGUCUGCGCGUAGUGCGCCACGGACGCGCCGAUGGUCUCCGGCCGGACCCCGCUCCGCCGCAUCGCGGCGAUGACGCGGCGGUAGUGGUCGAUCCGGAGCAAGGAGAGGUCCUCCACCCACCAGUCCUCCCGGCAGCGCGCGGCGGCGGCGCAGUCGCACGUCUCCAGGUGCGCCGCCAGGCCGGAGACCAGCUGCUCCUUGCCCGCGCUGGCGGCGACGGCGUCGACGCAGCGGGCCACCAGCCCGACCUGCUCCGCCACGGGCCCGCCGUCGUCGCACCUGCGCAGCACCUCCAGCGCCCCGUCCAGGCUCCGCAGCGCCACCUCGGCCAGGUACGCCUCCGCCCGCGCCACCAGGUUGUCCGCGUGCUGGUCCUCCGUCAUCUCCAGGUACUCCGCCACGCACCGCAGCUGCGCCACGUUCGCCGCGGUUAUCUCGAAGUUUGUGCCGUAGCAGAACUUGGCGGCCAGCUCGAACGCGUAGGCUCCCCCCGGCACGUUCGCCAGCUCCAGCUUCUGGUGGCCGUCUGCGUCCUUGCUGUUGGAGCUGGAGGAGUCCGCCAACAUCUUGCGUAUCCGCCCGCACCGGGACACCAGAGGGAACUGCAAACAAACAAAAAAAACGGCACAUUUCAUUCAUUCAUUCAUUAAGCUCUUGUUGCUUCCCAAAGGCAAAACAGUUGCACCGACCUUGUGCAGCAGGAACGACUGGCCGUCCACCGACACCGUCACGUCCUCAGCGACGUCUGAGAAUAUCCUGCACGAACCACAAGCAACAGGGGCAACGCAAUGCCCGCCCACAGGAGCGUUAGACAGGACAGCGGUGCCGAAUCGGUGGGCCGUAGGAGUGAGAGCUAGAGAGGUGCCGAAGCGGAAUGGCGAAGAGAUCUAGAGAGAAGGGAAGACUAGCGCCCGCACCGGCACCGGCACCGGCACCGGCACCGCAAGCUAUCGCUGUUGCUUUUUCGCCCAGGUAUGUCGACAAUGCAAUGCGAUGCAAAGGAAAUGGAAAGGCGGCGAGGGGAGGUAGAGGUAGAGGUAGAGAGGUGGGGGGUGGCCUGACCUCCUGUGGCUGACGGCGGUGGCGCCGCAGAGCCGCGGCGACGUGGCGGUGGUGCUGGUGGAGAAGGGGAACAGCGCGGCGGCGUCGCUGCCCAUCCCCAUUGCCCUCCUCGUCGUACGUCCUCUUCUCUCUCUCUCUCUCUCUCUCUCCUCUCUCUCUCUCUCUCUCUCUCUCUCUCUCUCUCUCUGAAAUGCUCUCAGCGGUGGAGGUCUGGUCUGGUCUGGAG